CUCACCUCACCUUUCUUUCUUUUUCUUCUUUUUCAUUUUCUGUCUCACACUCCUCUCCACUGCCUCACUCUCCCACCGGUAUCUCCAUACCACAUUUUCACCAUCAUUUUUCCGGCAAGAUCACUGGAAAAUCCUUAGUAACCUCUAAGCAUCUUCAUCCCUUUAAUUGAGAUUCUAGCUAAUCUCCUUGAAGCUUGGAGAAUUAGAAUUUUGCGGUUACGAGCCCUAUGCCAUGUGUGAUUUCCCGGUGAUCACCCGAUUUAGUUUCAGUAGUCUUUGUGACAACGGAAUCAAAUUCAGGUCAGUGUCCUUUCACUUUGGAUGACGCGUUCUUCCCUGCUGUCCAUGGGGGGAAGAGGUUCCUUGAUUGUGUGUGGGUGAGGCUGCUGCCCAUGGGGCCAAGAGACCACAUGCAAGAGAGGUCCUAUUUGACGCGCUCUCUCUGCUACCCAUUGGGGGAGAGAAAAACCUUAAGGGUAUGGGUGAGGCUGCUGUCCAUGGGGCCAAGAGUCUGCAUACCAGAGAGGACAAUAUUAUGCCAGUUGUGAAUGGGUGGAUCCCCUGACCGGUUUAUCUGGUAGUAUGGUAGAUUUGUGAUAAUUUAUCUUAUGCUAGAUAUUAUGGCCUUGGAAAUAAUAUUAUUGAUGCUCACAGAUUAUGGUGUAUAA
Quercus robur (English oak) is the source of this 668-nucleotide long non-coding RNA. RefSeq lists it as uncharacterized. Lineage: Eukaryota; Viridiplantae; Streptophyta; Magnoliopsida; Fagales; Fagaceae. The record is from RefSeq and is a predicted model, not a curated record. The transcript has 3 exons.